This 64-nucleotide transfer RNA is filed under the name Trypaea australiensis. Its description in RNAcentral is "tRNA-Glu". The record is from RNAcentral. Lineage: Eukaryota; Metazoa; Arthropoda; Malacostraca; Decapoda; Callianassidae.
GUUCUUUUAGUGUAAAUAACACGCUACUUUUUCGUGGUAGAAAUAAAGAAAUCUUUAAAGAAUA